AAAAGUCGUAACAGGGUUUCCGUAGGUGAACCUGCGGAAGGAUCAUUAAAAAAUAUCACACGUUUUAUGGUGUGAUUUAAUAAUCAUCCUACCCUUUGUGAAUUUGUUUUGUAUUUGAAAAUUUAUGUGGUCUAUCCCUGAUGGUUUUUGGGAAAGUUGAGAAACUUUUUCGAAUCCUCAGGGACUAGGCUUUCAUAGACCUUUUUUUAAAUUCAACUUUUUGUAUUCAUUUGUCAAAAUUUAUUUUUAAUAAUUUAAAAACAACUUUUGACAAUGGAUCCUUGGUUCUCGCAACGAUGAAGAACGCAGCAAAAUGCGAUAAGUAAUGUGAAUUGCAGAAUACGUGAAUCAUCGAAUCUUCGAACGCAUAUUGCACUUUUUUGGUUUACCAAAAAAGUAUGUCUGUUUGAGUAUCAGUAAAAUAUUCUCAUAAAAACUUUUUUGUUUUUAUGGUUAUGAGUGUUUUACAACGAUAAACAAGUUGUUUCACUUUAAAUUCUUUGUCUUUUAAAAAAUCAUUAAAAACUGAUUUUUUUUUAAAAUUGGAUAAAAUUUUCCCGUAAAAAGGAAUAACCUAAACAAUUUUAAGAAUUAAAUUAGUUUGAUUUUUUAAAAGAUCUAACAAGGAAAAAAAAGUAAAAAUGAACUUGAUCUCAAAUCAGAUAAGAGUACCCGCUGAACUUAAGCAUAUCAAUAAGCGGAGGAAAAGAAACUAACUAGGAUUCCCUCAGUAACGGCGAGUGAAGCGGGAAGAGCUCAAAUUUGAAAUCUUCAAGGUUCUACCUUGACGAAUUGUAGUUUAAAGAAGUGUUUUCUGUUGGAGUUUUGGUAAAAGUUCUUUGGAAUAGGACAUCAUAGAGGGUGAGAAUCCCGUAUUUGACCAUUAUUUCCAACUUGUGAUACACUUUCAAAGAGUCGGAUUGUUUGGGAAUGCAGUCCAAAAUGGGUGGCAAAUUUCAUCUAAAGCUAAAUACUGGCGAGAGACCGAUAGCGAACAAGUACCGUGAGGGAAAGAUGAAAAGAACUUUGAAAAGAGAGUUAAACAGUACGUGAAAUUGUCAAAAGGGAAGCGUUUGACACCAGUGUUGUUUUCUCGAAAAUCAAUUAAAAAUGGCCGGAUUUUGUGUUGUAUUGACUUUAUCAGCUUUCUGCACUUUUUUCUUGUCUUUUUUAAUGCACUUUUCGUUUAACAAGUCAACAUCGAUUUCUUUUGUUGUAAAAGGGUCAUUGGAAGGUGGCUUUCUUUCGGUGAAAGUGUUUAUAGCCUUUGACUCUGCAAUCGGAGAGAUUGAGGUCUGCAGCGUAGAUCCUUCGGGGUUAGAUGCAUUUGUGCUAAGUUAUAGCUUUCAUAGACAACAUGUUGACUAUGAUAAUCAUGUAGCUUACUCGCUAUGUCAUUUUACCUACGCUUAGGAUGUUGAC
Molecule: unclassified non-coding RNA, 1422 nt
Filed under: uncultured Neocallimastigales
Lineage: Eukaryota; Fungi; Neocallimastigomycota; Neocallimastigomycetes; Neocallimastigales
Description: partial contains small subunit ribosomal RNA, internal transcribed spacer 1, 5.8S ribosomal RNA, internal transcribed spacer 2, and large subunit ribosomal RNA
Rfam family: Eukaryotic large subunit ribosomal RNA (bases 649-1422)
Source: RNAcentral